Long non-coding RNA from Arabidopsis thaliana (thale cress), 284 nucleotides. RefSeq annotates it as other RNA. The transcript has a single exon. Lineage: Eukaryota; Viridiplantae; Streptophyta; Magnoliopsida; Brassicales; Brassicaceae. The record is from RefSeq.
UCAGGAUUCAGGAGAAUGAAUAUCCAGAGUCCUCGAUGCUCUUAAUAAGUAGGCUUAUCCUCAUCUUAUCUGUAGAGAAGUCAUACGUAAAAAAAUAUGAAUAUGGUUUCAUGAUUCAUGGUUGAAAAACUAAUUUUGAAGUUAGGAGAUCAGGGUUUGAGUCAUUCCAAUGCAAUUCAAUCAUAGGCCAUUGUGAACGUUUUAAAAUGACAAGAAUAUCCAGUACUCAGGUUUUGGAGGUUAGUAUGUGCUAUGGCUCAUGAUGAUCUAUCAGUUACGCACGG